CGUAUUUAGUCUUCUAGUAAAAUCUAUAAAAUGUCUUAUAUUUUGAAACGGAGGAAGUAGAUUGAUGACUUCUUCGUUAGAGCCCGUCAUUACAAAAGCUAGAAGAUAUACGUCCAUCGGAUCUAAUACACAACUGUUGCCUGCUACGCUCGUCAACUACGCAAAACAAUAAAAAAAAUCCUUCCUUGCGCUCAUGAAUCGAAGUCAUAGUCCCACUUGACGUCCUCGGCCGCAUCGAGGUAAUACAUCUUGAUCUCGUCGUGCUUGAACUUGCGUCCCCCCUUGCACGCCGAUCUGCCCCCGAAACGCGCCGCGGCGGUUGGUCGGCUUCCGGACUUGGACUGGUUGGUCGGCUUCCGCGGCGCCCGGAUGUAGCCGCCAUUGGCCACCACCUGGCCGUCCACCAGGGCGCGGUCGUACACGCGCACCCACCCUCGCAGCCGUCCCUCGCGCCGCAUCGUCGCUCGUUUCCUUUGGUUUGCUU
This 484-nucleotide long non-coding RNA is filed under the name Hordeum vulgare. Its description in RNAcentral is "long non-coding RNA (HVUL_LNC006452)". Lineage: Eukaryota; Viridiplantae; Streptophyta; Magnoliopsida; Poales; Poaceae. The record is from RNAcentral.